RNAcentral lists this ribosomal RNA (253 nucleotides) under uncultured bacterium. RNAcentral's name for it is "partial 16S ribosomal RNA". It matches the Rfam family "Bacterial small subunit ribosomal RNA", at positions 524 to 776 of the family's 1533-position model. The record is from RNAcentral.
UACGUAGGUGGCGAGCGUUGUCCGGAUUUAUUGGGCGUAAGGCGCGCGCAGGUGGUGCGGUAAGUCCUGUGUGAAAUCUCCCGGCUCAACUGGGAGGGUGCGGAGGAGACUGCCGGACUGGAGGCACUCAGAGGCCGGUGGAAUUCCCGGUGUAGUGGUGAAAUGCGUAGAGAUCGGGAGGAACACCAGUGGCGAAGGCGGCCGGCUGGGGGUGACCUGACGCUGAGGCGCGAAAGCGUGGGGAGCGAACCGG